Molecule: ribosomal RNA, 578 nt
Filed under: Tomoplagia minuta
Lineage: Eukaryota; Metazoa; Arthropoda; Insecta; Diptera; Tephritidae
Description: partial 16S ribosomal RNA
Rfam family: Bacterial large subunit ribosomal RNA (bases 325-485)
Source: RNAcentral
UGACUGUGCAAAGGUAGCAUAAUCAUUAGUCUUUUAAUUGAAGGCUUGUAUGAAUGGUUGGACGAAGUAUUAACUGUUUCAUAUAAAUUUAGAAUAAAAUUUUAUAUUUUAGUAAAAAAGCUAAAAUUUAAUUAAAAGACGAGAAGACCCUAUAAAUCUUUAUAUUUAAAUUUUAAUUUAAUUUUUUAAAUUAUUUUAAUUAAAUUUAAUUUAAAUAUUUUAUUGGGGUGAUAUUAAAAUUUGUAAAACUUUUAAUUUUAAAUAUACAUUAAUUUAUGUUUUAUUGAUCCAUAAAUAAUGAUUAUAAGAAUAAGUUACUUUAGGGAUAACAGCGUAAUUUUUUUGGAGAGUUCUUAUCAAUAAAAAAGUUUGCGACCUCGAUGUUGGAUUAAGAGAUAAAUUUAGGUGUAGAAGCUUAAAAAUUUAAGUCUGUUCGACUUUUAAAUUCUUACAUGAUCUGAGUUCAGACCGGCGUAAGCCAGGUUGGUUUCUAUCUUUAAUUUUUUAUAAUAUUUUAGUACGAAAGGACCAAAUAUUAAGUUUAUAAAAAUUUAUUUUUUUUGAAAAUAAUUAAAUAA